Molecule: long non-coding RNA, 547 nt
Organism: Galleria mellonella (greater wax moth)
Lineage: Eukaryota; Metazoa; Arthropoda; Insecta; Lepidoptera; Pyralidae
Exons: 2
Source: RefSeq, a predicted model, not a curated record
GCCAGUUGACGGUGUGCGACCACGUGGUAGUCGGAGGUGAGGUGGCCAUUCCUAACGCCGCAAUUCAAUAGUGCCUUCACUGCAUCUAUCAUUGAGCGUUUCACCUGAUCAUCUGGAAUAACAUGAAUAUAUUUAUGUAACAACAUGUUGCUAAGGACGAUAUUUAAAAGUAAAGCAACUUCUACGUUUGACAAGCGAUCCAGAACAAAAAAAAAUCAAUGAGAUAUCAAAAACUGUUUGCCGUAUGGUCACCCCUUCUUUAGAUGCCUUCCUUGUUGUAAUAGACGACUACGUGAACUUAAUGGUCGAGAAAUGGACAGCAACAUUCCUUUUAAAACAUCACCAAAACUUAACUGCGGUUAAAUUUUGGUGAUGUUUUUAAAUACACAUAAUGUUAAUAGAGAUUUAAAAGAGUGACUUGAGUUCUUUUUUGCGAGUUCUUCUCAACAAAUAAAAAGUUUCUAAACCCUGCAUUCAUAAAAAAAAAAUACAAUUUAAAAAUGCUUGUAAACAAGUCUAUUUGAAUAAAGAUAUUUUGUAUUUCUUA